RNAcentral lists this long non-coding RNA (549 nucleotides) under Bos taurus (domestic cattle). RNAcentral's name for it is "long non-coding RNA NONBTAT026957". Lineage: Eukaryota; Metazoa; Chordata; Mammalia; Artiodactyla; Bovidae. The record is from RNAcentral.
UCUGUUAUGAAGUAAAACUGUAAGCCACCUUUGAUUCAGCCAUUAAAGAUGGUUCAAAUUAAAGAUGAAAAUAUUGGUCCCAAAGGUAUUUUAUGGGAAUCCCUGAGAGGUAAUAAUUUCUUUGACUUAAAGUAAUUUGAGAAUUCACAAUGCAGUAUUCAUUGUUACCUUAGCAAAAGGAAUGGAAAGGAUUGUUAAAGGAACAGGCUGCUUGUCUGUGUUAGCUUUGACUCUAUUAGAAUCACAAGUUUAUUUUCUCAAACAAGUUUAUGGGGGAAAGCCAAGACCAGCAAGUGAAUUUGUGCAACUUACAUAAUAGUGAAAUUAUACAUAAAAGUUUAUCACUAUCAGGCUGGUAUAUCCAUUGCAAUCUAUAUUCCUACAAUAAAUACUUCCUAUAAAAUAUAAUUUCCUAUUAUAAGGAUACAGUGAGUAAUAUGUUUCCUACAACACAUAUAUAAAAAGACUUAGCAGAAAUCAUAAUUUUAAGUAGUAUACUACAGAAGAAUUAAAAAUCAACCCUUUAAAAAUAAUGUGUGUUGAUGUCAA